Schistocephalus solidus is the source of this 153-nucleotide non-coding RNA. The record is from Rfam. Lineage: Eukaryota; Metazoa; Platyhelminthes; Cestoda; Diphyllobothriidea; Diphyllobothriidae.
AACUCUAUCCGGCGGAUCACUCGCUUCGCAUGUGGAUUAAGAGCGCAGCCAACUGUGUGAAUUAAUGUGAAUCGCGGACUGCUUUGAACAUCGACCUUUUGAAUGCACAUUGCGGACAUAGGCUUGCCCACGGCCACGUCUGGCCCAGGGUCG